CCAAGCAUUACCUGAGGCUCAGGGGUCUUUCAGGCUCACUGGUUGGUGGCGGAAUUUGGUUCCUAGAAACUGCUCCAAGCCAGUUUGCAGCAUGACUCUUGCUUUCUUCCAGGAGACCCACAGGAAAUCCACUCUCUUAAUGAACUAAAGUCCAGAGGACUUGUGUGAGGUUCUUGAAGUCUGGCCUAGACUCUCCAGAAAACUCUCAGGAGAUAUGAACUUCUGGCUCUACCACUAACUACUGAUGCUGUUGGAAGAAGACAUUUAACCUUUUUGAACAUCACCAGUUUCUUGUCUCUGUAGAAGGAUGGGAUUGAUUGGUAUGAUUGUUUCCUUAAAGAUCUGAGACUGAUUUGGGGAAUUUACACAUUUAAUCACCAUUUGUUUGAUGUUGGCCAUAUGCUAGGCACCAUUCUAUGUACUAUGGGUACAUUGUAGUCUGUUACUAUGAUGAGGGAGAAUUUCAAGCCCAUACAAAGGAGAUGAUGAAUCAAUAACUAGGAAAAAAUUUAACCAAGGAGUUACACAGUGACUGGCAUUAACACCAAUGAGCCACAUGCUUGGCAACCUUCAAGGGCUUGGAAUUUAGCUCAAUGGUUCUGCUGCCUGUCUCGCAAGCACAAGGUCCUGAGUUUGAUUCCUGGUACCAAAAAAAAAAAAAAAGAGUAAAUUUAUUCAAGCAUCCUAACCACAAAAAUGAUCAGUAGAUGAGAUAAUAAAUACAUUAACUACCUUGAUUUAGUCAUUUCACAAUGUCUAUGUUUCAAAACAUCACAUUGUACACCAUGAAUUUUAUUUGUCAAUUAAAAAAAUUAAAAAACAACAUGUUAUAAACCAGGAGAUGAAAGACUUCUACACUGAAAACUGUAGAACACUGCUGAAAGAAAUUAAAGAAGGCCUAAAGGAAUGAGAGACAUUCUAUGUUCAUGGAUGGGAAGACUUGACAUUAGUAAGAUGUCAUUAAUGCUCAAAGUGAUCUACAGACUCAAUGCAAUUUAUACCAAAAUCCCAAUAGCUUGCUCUGCAGAAAUGGGAAAGCCAAUUCUUAAAUUCAUAUGGAAUUUCAAGGGCCCCAAAUAGCUAAAAUCAUCUUGAAAAAACAAUUUUUUAAAAAAGCAGAGGGCUCACACUUCCUGAUUUUGAAAAGUUACUAUAAAGCUACUAUAGCCAAAAUGGUGUUGUACUAACAUAAAGAUAGACAUAUAGGCCAUUGAAAUAGAAUUCAGACUUCAGAAAUAAACCCAUGUAUCUAUGGUCAGCUGAUUUUUGAUAAGGGUAUUGAAUCCAUUCAAACAAAAGAAUUUCUACAAGCAAAAGAAUGAAAUCUGGGCCAGGGAUUUACGUCAGUGGUGCCGCCACCUGCCUCGCAAGCACAAGGUUCUGAGUUCAAUCCCUGGUACCAAUAAAAAUAAAUAAAAAAUAACUAAGAAUGAAAUCAGAUUCCAACCUCACAUCUAUACAAAAAUUAACUCAAAAUAGAUCAACAGUCUAAAUAUAAUGGCUGAAAUCAUAAAUUAAAUUGAAAGUAUUCUGAGCACAUUUAAGGUAAGCUAGGCUAAGUUAUAAUCUUCAAUAGGUUAGGUGUACCAAUUGACAUGCAAUAGGUUCGAAUUUCGGUGGGUUUAUUGGAACAUUACUUCAUUGUAAGUUGAAGAACAUCUGUACAUACACAAUGGAAUAUUAGUCACAAAAGGAAUGAAGUUCUGAUACAUGCAACAACAUGGAUGAAUCUCAUGGUAAGUAAAACAACCCAGACAUAGAAAGACAAAUACUGCAUUGGGGCCAGGGAUUUAGCUCAGCGGUUUUGCCUCCUGCUGCACAAGUGCAAGGACCCAAGUUCGAUCCCCGGUACAAAAAAAAAAAACAACAAAUACUGCAUGAUUCCACUUAUAUGAAAUAUCUAGAAUAGGCAAAUUCAUAGAGACAGGAAGUACUUAGAGGUUAGGAAGGACUGGGGGGAGAGGAAUAGAGAGUUAUGGCAUAAUGGCUUCAGAAUUUCUGUUUGGACAGUGAAAAUCUGGGGGGACCAGGUAGUGGUGGUUGUUUGCCCAAUAACAUGAAUGCAACUCAUGCCACUGAAUUAUACACUUAAAAUUGGUUUAAAUGGCAAACUUUGUUACAUGUACUUUUUCACAAUAAAAAGAGAAAAAAUGGGAUAGAUGGGAGAUUUAGGGCAGAUAGUCAUGGCUCAGAGGAAGAUAUCGGCUGGGCCUUUAGACACACAAAGAAAUCCAUAAAAAUGUAGAUUUACGCCUAAGUACAAACCUAAGUUUACCUUAACAGGUACUCAAACACACAGCUCUUCGUCUCUACAGUCCUACAUAUGUGCAGUCCACAAUUCCAGUAAGAAGAUGGCUAAGUCAAAGCAUCCACACACUAGAGGUACACACACGUGCCUAUUACACCAGGUGACAGGAUAGCCACACAGGUUAGCCAAAGAGCCUGCCCACGCAAGAGCACGUUCUAAAGGGGAAAGGAAAGAAAUGCCUGCAGACCUGAGAGACGCGCACAGAUAAGCACUUAGCACAACGAAGCAGUGGAAGAGUUCAAGGGCAUAUAAAUGGGUCACUGGUUGUAGAGGGGGGGAUCAGGGUCGUGAGCACAGCGGAAGCACUGGGGGCUAACUGCGCUGUACAAGGGCAGGGAUUGAAGGUGGGUGAGAUGGGAGAAUGAGAACAUGAGUGGGUGUACAAACAAUAGCUACUUACAGCCUUCUUUGUCUGAUACUCAUAACAAUAGGCUGGAGUUGCCGAGUUUUACUCUUUCUCUUGCCUGUGACUGUCUGACCUUUGGUUAUCAGAAAUCCAACUCAGGAACCUUUGUAAAUGUGGAUCCCAACGCUACUCUGGGGCAGUCCUCAGGUGAGGUCAGUGAACCACUGCAUCUGGCCUCUUUUGCCCGGUAGAGUGAACCCGCCUCAUCCAGGGGCUGCACUGUGCUGUGGAAAGCACCAACCCCACUGGCGGCCAGCCCAGAGCCGUGGUGCAGAGCGAAGUCCCAGAAUAACCAAGGCCAAAGGCAAAAGCAGUGAUGGGGCCGAGGAAGUGACAUACUGGGAGCGGUGAGUCAGGAGCACUGGGAGCUAGCACUCAAAGGAAGUAGUCAGCGAUGAGGGCACUGAUAACGUAACACUGAGGCAUGAGCACAGGACCAUGCCAGCAGACCCCUUGUAUGUGAAUCCUGUAUCCUUUGUGAUCACAAAGGCUGUACCUGAGCAAGGCCGCUGCUGACGGAAAUACACAGCUAGAGGCCACCAGGGCAUCAUGAAGGUCCCACGUGUCCUGCUACCAGUCCCCCCAUCUUUCCCUGGCCCCGCCUCUUUCACAGGCCCCGCUUCUUUCCCAGGCCUUUCCCCCCAGCGCUAGCACUUUGUUUCUUCACUGACCCAGCACCAAUGCCCUCUUCCCUCCUAUUAAAACCCUGAGUAAUUAUGGGGAUAAAAUCUUAUCUUCCGCUAUUAGGAAAGAGAAUUCUCCACUUACUGCUAAUCAAUAAAAUUAGAGUGAGUUACAUAGGAUUAUCAGCAUUUCCUUGGUUUCUACCUGCAUUUUCAGAACCAAAAAAAAUACGCCUUGGUGAGUAUAGGGUGUUAAAAUUCAGUAAAGAAGGGAACAUCCUGGCAUGUUUUAUAAUAACUUUUUUUUUUUUUUAGUUUUACAAUAGCUUUCUGAAGAGUAUACUGACAAAAUACAACUUUGGUCUUUUAGUAGGGAACCACGAUUGGCUUUGGAUUUUGAUUGUAGACACCAUCUUUAAAACAAUAGACUACUUUGAAUUAACUUACUCAUGGAUAUAGCAAGUAUAAUUUUUUUUUUUUUUUUUUUUACCAGGGAUCGAAUAGCAAGUAUAAUUUUAACAAAUACUAACUAGGGAAGUGUGUUUGUAUAUUUGCAAACGAUGGAGAUGUGUGACUUUGCCAAGUAAAGUCCACAGUUCAUGGAAUUAUUAUUACUGAAAGUGUUUUUAAAUUUUUUUCAUCUUUCAGCUCUUAUAAAUCCACAUUGCAGGUUAUUUGAACUAUAAUGGAUGGUGAUUCUAAAGGAAAUUAUCAUAUUCUGCUUCUUAACUUUGAGUUCAAUUGUGGUGGAAAAAUUAUUCUGUCUUUGAACAUAAUUUAACUUCUGAAAGCAUGCAUGAAAGGAUAACUCCAGAAAGAACAGAGAAGCUGACAGCGGCUUGACUUAUUCUGGAGGAAACGAAGUGAGAGAAAUGGCAGAAGCCAGGGCUGGUCUCUAUGGUGUGACACAGACUCCAGACAGACGGGCUUGGCUGGACAGUGUGAGCAAGGAUUCUGGAGACUGUAUGUGCUUUUCAGACAACCCACAGGCCUACACGAAAUAUCACAAGCCAGCUGCCUCUGCAGGUUCCUACUCAGAGGAAAGAAAGCAGACCAUUGUCAGCGCGAGGGAGCUGAGGAAUGAGCAGCAGCUGCUCAGGACUCUGCAGCAGGCUCCAGCCCCACGCGGAGGCCACUGCCUACUUCAAGGGUGGCACCAGCACCCUCCACUCUGCCCUAGACUCCUCCAGGUGCCAGGCAAGGUCACCUGGAAGAUACAGCAUGCCUCCCGCCAUCCAAGCCAGUGUGGAUAGCCAGGCAUCGAACUUGGGUCCUUGUGCUUGUGAGCCAGGCGGUGGAACCACUGAGCUAAAUCCCUGGUGGUAUUUUGCUAUUAUGAAUGAUGGUAUGAUACUUAUACACUCAUCUGUUUAUAUUUCUGCAGGAUAAAAUUCUACAAGUAGAAUUGUUGACUGCAUCCCUUUUAUUUCUUAGUUAAAAAAUUUAUUAGCCCACAUUUGGAAUACAUAGUGACUCCAUUCAUCGUGGGGUAUCGGUGCAUGCACAUAACACAUGUUAAUUCUUUUGACUUUUUCCCUUCCCUUCCUCUCCCCCCCCUUUUUCUCUAGAGACCGCAUUCCUUUUAAAGUUUUUGAUUGGUAGAGACAAGUUUUCCUUCAGUGAGAGAAUAUCAGUUUGUGUUCUAACCAACUGAGUGUUAUGUUCAUUUCCGCAUUAGUGUUUUUAAAACUAAUUGCAAAAGAAAAUCAAAUGAACUUUGGAAGAAGCAAUAUAUCAAUGAAGAAAAUAAGAACAACACAAGAGAAAUAAUGCUUUAGUUUCCCCCCGGACUCAUCCAACUGUAGUCUGUUUCCUCUCUCCCUCUCUCUCUCUCUCUUCUCUCUCUUCUCUCUCUCUUUCUCCUUUGACCAAGUGAGGAAUACUGUGGUAGAGUUGGUCACCAAACCUAUAGCUUUUCCUGUGCAUCCAGACAGACUACAUCUCCCAGGCUCCCUUGAGGUCAAGGGUGAACAUCAGUUCUGGCCAACAGAACAUGGGCGGAAAUGAUACAUGCUAUGUCUAAACCUGGCCCAGAUGCUCCUCUUCCUGUGCAUCUCCUGGACCCUGAGGAACCAGGAGAAGACUCAAAGGCCCAGGGAAUGAAUGGUGCAGAGGAAGAAGGAGCCCAGGUCCUGAGUCACCUCACACAAGGCCACUCAGCUAUUACUCAUGCAAUUCAUAUUGUGUUAAACCAUGGAGAUUGUAGAAAAGCUAUAAACUUCAGAUAAACAAAAGAAAAAAAUUACUCAGAAUCCUAAAAACCAGAGAUAACUGUUCGAAACAUUAGCCUAUCCUCGUAAAUUGAGGCCUACUGCUUUUUAAAGUCAGCUACAACUGGAAUUAGUAGUUAAAAAUAAGGGUUUGGUAUGAUUUUCUUUUUCACAAUCAUCUUCCUCUUUCUUGAAUACUUGUUAUGUGUUUUCAUUUUUUCUGAAUACCUAUUAUGAAAAAUAAGCUAUAAUGUAUGCAUUAUUUAUUUGUGUGUAUGAAACUUCAUUCAUGUGUAAGGUAUAUUUCUCCCUACAUACAUCUCACUCUCAAAUAUCCAUGUGACUGAUAUGGAAAAUUGGUAUAUAUAAAUAACGUAGGCCAUGUAGAUUUCAUUUUGAAUAGUCUCAGCUUGGGGACUGAUACACACCUAGGCUUCCAGGAGACGCAGUGGCACUCACCAAUCAUCUGUCCCAUCCCUUGCCCACUCAUCAGCUCCCUUUGAGUCAGGAAAACCAUGUGACUAGCUCUGGCCAAUGGAAAGAGACUAGAAGCAACACAUGCUACCUAUGAGCAGAAGGGUCAAAAAGCCCACAUGCAAUUUCUCUGUUUCUCUUCCUGCUGCAGUGACAGGGACCUGGUGUAGUCAGGGACAGCAGAGUCUCCAGUAUCCCAGGUCCCCAAGCACACCCCUUCCCCUCCAAGGAUGGGCAUUUGGCAUGAGCAAGAACUAAAGCUUUCUUGUGUUAAGACAGCAGGAUUUCUGAUUAAUGGGGUAAUGCAGCCCAAGCCUACCCUGCCCUGAUAGCAUAAGGCUCACACUGUUCCCCGUCCACAUCAAGAGCUCCAAGAGAGCAGGCUCACUGCUACCAUUAGUCAUUCACAGCCCAGUUAAGUGGGCUUUGACUUCCUAGCGAUGACGGAAACACUGAAUUGAAGAAUAAGGGCUUUAUAAGACAGGUGAGCGUUCUUCUAGUGACAGUAGGAGUGACUUCACUAUAAUGCAUAAGAAGCAGAUGCAGCUUUCUGGAUUUUCCCAGGUGCAAAGUAGCUUAUGAAAUACAUUUAUUACGGUACAUGAAAACUAUUAAUAGUGUCUACAUAUAAGGGUAGAAACAAAAGAGAGUGAAUCUGAUCUCUUGGCUUGCUGAGCAUAUUUUCCACCUAAUAAUAAUGAAAAGGGAUGUAUGGCAAGGAGUGGAGAAGUCAGUUGGCAGAGAGGGAACAUGAACUGAAGUCCAGCUCCUUUGUCCCUUUUGUGUCUGUUUCAGUCUGGCUGUUGAAUAUCUUCCAAAGGUUCAUGUAUGAAAGUUUGAUCCCUAGAAUGGCACAUUGGGAAGUUCUGUGGCUCUUAAAGAGGUGGAAGUGUCCCCUCAAAGGGAAGUGGGACCCCAGUUCUGUGUGUAUGUGUGUACAUGCGCUUGGUUUAAAAUGUGACCUAUAGGGUCGGGGAUUUAGCUCAGUGGUUUUGCCGCCUGCCUAGCAAGCUCAAGGACCCAAGUUUGAUUCCCCGGUACCCUCCCCCCAGAUAAAAUAAAAUAAAAUAAAAUAAAAUAAAAUAAAACGUGACCUACAGAGAGAUUCUUUAGCUCAGUCUUGAAGGUUCAAAGUCUGAGAUCGGGCAGGUUAGGGGAGGAUUGCCUUGUCCCCUGUGAUGACAGUGGUGGUGAUGCAUCAUGGUGUCAUAUGCUUUGUUAGAGUGACAGAAGGCUGACAAACAGCAUCUGAUAUCUUUAAGUUAACUUUUAUGAAAUCAGUCAAUGAUACUUUUCUAUAGUGUCCAAUUUCUUUAUCAUGAUCACAUGUUAUUUUUAUAAUUAGAAAAUAGUAUUUCUAAUUUGGAAAAUAAACUAUUGGUUUUUUAAUAAUUGCUGCCUCCAUUGACACCUAAAGAAUCACACCUACAACAGAGUCUAUCAGCUUCCUUAACAGUUUAAUUCAAGGGCUGAGUUCGUUAGGGGAAGGUUUAACAUCGUGAUUCUAGAAGCAAGCAUAGCAGCAUCGCACAUCUGAGGGGCUCAUCCACAUCUGC
RNAcentral lists this long non-coding RNA (7577 nucleotides) under Heterocephalus glaber (naked mole-rat). RNAcentral's name for it is "lncRNA (ENSHGLG00000033536.1)". The record is from RNAcentral. Lineage: Eukaryota; Metazoa; Chordata; Mammalia; Rodentia; Bathyergidae.